GCCUACGGGGGGCAGCAGUGGGGAAUAUUGCGCAAUGGGCGAAAGCCUGACGCAGCGACGCCGCGUGAGGGAUGAAGGUCUUCGGAUCGUAAACCUCUGUCAGCAGGGAAGAACGGUCACUGUGCUAAUCAGCAGUGAAUUGACGGUACCUGCAAAGGAAGCACCGGCUAACUCCGUGCCAGCAGCCGCGGUAAUACGGAGGGUGCGAGCGUUAAUCGGAAUUACUGGGCGUAAAGCGCUCGUAGGCCGUAUGUCAAGUCAAGGGUGAAAUCCCCGCGCUCCACGUGGGAACUGCCUUUGAAACU
This 305-nucleotide ribosomal RNA is filed under the name uncultured bacterium. RNAcentral describes it as "bacterial SSU rRNA". It matches the Rfam family "Bacterial small subunit ribosomal RNA", at positions 337 to 634 of the family's 1533-position model. The record is from RNAcentral.